RNAcentral lists this ribosomal RNA (253 nucleotides) under uncultured bacterium. RNAcentral describes it as "partial 16S ribosomal RNA". It matches the Rfam family "Bacterial small subunit ribosomal RNA", at positions 524 to 776 of the family's 1533-position model. The record is from RNAcentral.
UACGUAGGGACCGAGCGUUGUCCGGAUUCAUUGGGCGUAAAGAGCUCGUAGGCGGCCACUCAAGUCGAAUGUGAAACCUCGAGGCUUAACCUCGAGCCUGCAUUUGAUACUGGGCGGCUAGAGUCUGGUAGGGGGAUCUGGAAUUCCUGGUGUAGCGGUGGAAUGCGCAGAUAUCAGGAGGAACACCGAUGGCGAAGGCAGUUCUCUGGGCCGUAACUGACGCUGAGGAGCGAAAGCGUGGGGAGCGAACAGG